Peromyscus eremicus (cactus mouse) is the source of this 806-nucleotide long non-coding RNA. RefSeq lists it as uncharacterized. The transcript has 2 exons. The record is from RefSeq and is a predicted model, not a curated record. Lineage: Eukaryota; Metazoa; Chordata; Mammalia; Rodentia; Cricetidae.
UCUUAAAAGGAGCCUGUGAGCUUCUCUCGAGGUACUUUCCAUUUUGCCUUUGUAUGGGAUGGACAGCCCCAGCAUGCUGCUAUAACAAAUGCUCUUGUCGAUUGCAUACAUGUAUGGUGGUCUUUUGUGGAACUUCUCCAGGACCCUAACAAAUAGAUUCAUCCUGAUGAAUUCACAGUAUGAUGGUGUCAUUGGGACAUGAUAAAAGGUAAGCGUGGGGCCUAGCUGGGAGGCAUGUCCUUGGAGGCUAAUCCUGCCUCAGUCUCCUCCUAUAUUCGUAUCCCAGGAUGAUGUAGGCUGUUGUGACACACCUUUCCCCACAAGAAACCAUGAUUGAUCGUACCUCCUUUUGCUUUGCUCCAGCUUUUGGUCCCAGGGACAAAAAAUCCUGACUAAGUGAUGAUAAUUGUUGUGUAACAGCUUCUUCCAAGACUGAAGUAUUCCAUCCUGCAGCUCUGUAAACACAAAGGAAAUAAAAGCUGAGAAUCCCUCAAAGGAACUGAAGCUGAGCUGCAAAGAAGACUCUCAGAGGAGAAAAGCUACAAAAACAGCAGCCUGGAAGAAGAAACCAACCCGGCUGCCUGGAAGGAGUUUAGAAAAUAGUCACUUGGGAAGGACACGCUCCAAUCUGUGGAGCUGCCUGCAGGCUGUGCAGUGUGCUCCAGGUUCCCAGCUUCGAGAGCUGUGUCACCCGUGCUGGGGUGGGCUUUGGUGACACAGCUGUCUUUGAGUCAUUUCUGCUCCUAUGGGUGGCCCCUCACCCAUAUUCCUGUAAGUGACCCCAAUAAAGCUCAUUGGUUCACCAA